This 497-nucleotide ribosomal RNA is filed under the name uncultured bacterium. Its description in RNAcentral is "partial 16S ribosomal RNA". It matches the Rfam family "Bacterial small subunit ribosomal RNA", at positions 28 to 507 of the family's 1533-position model. The record is from RNAcentral.
GAUGAACGCUGGCGGCGUGCCUAAUACAUGCAAGUCGAGCGAACGGACGAGAAGCUUGCUUCUCUGAUGUUAGCGGCGGACGGGUGAGUAACACGUGGAUAACCUACCUAUAAGACUGGGAUAACUUCGGGAAACCGGAGCUAAUACCGGAUAAUAUUUUGAACCGCAUGGUUCAAAAGUGAAAGACGGUCUUGCUGUCACUUAUAGAUGGAUCCGCGCUGCAUUAGCUAGUUGGUAAGGUAACGGCUUACCAAGGCAACGAUGCAUAGCCGACCUGAGAGGGUGAUCGGCCACACUGUAACUGAGACACGUUCCAUACUCCUACGGGAGGCAGCAGUAGGGAAUCUUCCGCAAUGGGCGAAAGCCUGACGGAGCAACGCCGCGUGAGUGAUGAAGGUCUUCGGAUCGUAAAACUCUGUUAUUAGGGAAGAACAUAUGUGUAAGUAACUGUGCACAUCUUGACGGUACCUAAUCAGAAAGCCACGGCUAACUACGUG